AGUGAACGCUGGCGGUAGGCCUAACACAUGCAAGUCGAACGGCAGCACAGUAAGAGCUUGCUCUUACGGGUGGCGAGUGGCGGACGGAUGAGGAAUACAUCGGAAUCUACUUUUUCGUGGGGGAUAACGUAGGGAAACUUACGCUAAUACCGCAUACGACCUACGGGUGAAAGCAGGGGAUCUUCGGACCUUGCGCGAUUGAAUGAGCCGAUGUCGGAUUAGCUAGUUGGCGGGGUAAAGGCCCACCAAGGCGACGAUCCGUAGCUGGUCUGAGAGGAUGAUCGGCCACACUGGAACUGAGACACGGUCCAGACUCCUACGGGAGGCAGCAGUGGGGAAUAUUGGACAAUGGGCGCAAGCCUGAUCCAGCCAUACCGCGUGGGUGAAGAAGGCCUUCGGGUUGUAAAGCCCUUUUGUUGGGAAAGAAAGGCAGCAGGUUAAUACCCCGCUGUCCUGACGGUACCCAAAGAAUAAGCACCGGCUAACUUCGUG
This 492-nucleotide ribosomal RNA is filed under the name uncultured bacterium. RNAcentral's name for it is "partial 16S ribosomal RNA". It matches the Rfam family "Bacterial small subunit ribosomal RNA", at positions 29 to 507 of the family's 1533-position model. The record is from RNAcentral.